CUACACACGUGCUACAAUGGCCGGUCAAAGGGUCGCAAUACCGCGAGGUGGAGCUAAUCCCAAAAAGCCGGUCUCAGUUCGGAUUGGAGUCUGCAACUCGACUCCAUGAAGUCGGAAUCGCUAGUAAUCGCGUAUCAGCGCGACGCGGUGAAUACGUUCCCGGGCCUU
Molecule: ribosomal RNA, 168 nt
Filed under: uncultured Geothermobacter sp.
Lineage: Bacteria; Pseudomonadati; Thermodesulfobacteriota; Desulfuromonadia; Desulfuromonadales; Geothermobacteraceae
Description: partial 16S ribosomal RNA
Rfam family: Bacterial small subunit ribosomal RNA
Source: RNAcentral